CAGCAGCCGCGGUAAUACGAAGGGUGCAAGCGUUAAUCGGAAUUACUGGGCGUAAAGGGCGCGUAGGCGGACAGUUUAGUCGGGGGUGAAAGCCCGGGGCUCAACCUCGGAAUUGCCUUCGAUACUGGCUGUCUUGAGUGUGAGAGAGGUGUGUGGAACUCCGAGUGUAGAGGUGAAAUUCGUAGAUAUUCGGAAGAACACCAGUGGCGAAGGCGACACACUGGCUCACUACUGACGCUGAGGCGCGAAAGCGUGGGGAGCAAACAGGAUUAGAUACCCGAGUAGUCCCUGUCUCUUAUAC
RNAcentral lists this ribosomal RNA (301 nucleotides) under uncultured bacterium. RNAcentral's name for it is "partial 16S ribosomal RNA". It matches the Rfam family "Bacterial small subunit ribosomal RNA", at positions 509 to 807 of the family's 1533-position model. The record is from RNAcentral.